UACGGAGGGGGCUAGCGUUGUUCGGAAUCACUGGGCGUAAAGCGCGCGUAGGCCGAUUGUUAAGUCGGGGGUGAAAGCCUGGAGCUCAACUCCAGAACUGCCUCCGAUACUGGCAAUCUUGAGUCCGGGAGAGGUGAGUGGAAUUCCCAGUGUAGAGGUGAAAUUCGUAGAUAUUGGGAAGAACACCAGUGGCGAAGGCGGCUCACUGGCCCGGUACUGACGCUGAGGCGCGAAAGCGUGGGGAGCAAACAGG
RNAcentral lists this ribosomal RNA (253 nucleotides) under uncultured bacterium. RNAcentral's name for it is "partial 16S ribosomal RNA". It matches the Rfam family "Bacterial small subunit ribosomal RNA", at positions 524 to 776 of the family's 1533-position model. The record is from RNAcentral.